Non-coding RNA from Eptesicus fuscus (big brown bat), 673 nucleotides. The record is from the annotation of a RefSeq genome assembly. NCBI's taxonomy places the organism in Eukaryota, Metazoa, Chordata, Mammalia, Chiroptera, Vespertilionidae.
ACACCCCGCCAGGGGAACCCAGAGCAGCUUGGGCGGAGGCUUCACGUCACCCCUUCAGGAAAGGAGCUCCGCCCCUUGCUUUUUCUUCUCCUGGGUUUUGCAUCCAGAUUGAACUUCUUCCCUCCCCACAGGGCGGGGGGCCGGAGUGGACCUUCUGCUGGCUCCGGGGAUGCAGUGCCUGGCUCACGGCGUCCGGCAGCAGCUGUGGGGAGUUUUCCUUCUUUGUGCUUUUCUGACAAUGGGAGGCACCGCGGGACCAGGCGUUCAGCAGCCCGCCGAGCUGACGGCGAUGGAAGGAGCUUCUGUCCAGGUCAACUGCACGUACCAGACAUCGGGGUUCAACGGGCUGUUCUGGUACCAGCAGCGCGAUGGCGGAGCGCCCACCUUUCUCUCUUACAACGUUCUGGAUGGCUGGGGCAGGAGAGGUCGUUUGUCCUCCUUCCUUAGUCGCUCUGACACUUACAGUUACCUCCUUCUGAGGGAGCUCCAGAGUAAAGACUCCGCCUCUUACCUCUGUGCUGUGAUAGACACAUUGCCCACGAGGCCCCUGCAGCUGCACCAAAAUCCAAAAGGCAGCCAUGGCAGUGAGAAGUUACGUUUCCUGAGCAGGUACCUUCUGUGGGUUAAGACGACAUUUCGGAACCAGACUGCCCGGAUUGGCAGUGCAUUUUAA